CUCGAUCCGGGAGGGUCUCAGUUGGGCGACACUACCAGUGUCGCCCAAACCAAUUUGCCCCAGAUCAUUCCGGGGUUCUGGAC
Molecule: transfer RNA, 83 nt
Filed under: Amborella trichopoda
Lineage: Eukaryota; Viridiplantae; Streptophyta; Magnoliopsida; Amborellales; Amborellaceae
Description: tRNA AMTR_s00068t00275190
Source: RNAcentral